Molecule: ribosomal RNA, 492 nt
Filed under: uncultured bacterium
Lineage: Bacteria
Description: partial 16S ribosomal RNA
Rfam family: Bacterial small subunit ribosomal RNA
Source: RNAcentral
AGUGAACGCUGGCGGUAGGCCUAACACAUGCAAGUCGAACGGCAGCACAGUAAGAGCUUGCUCUUACGGGUGGCGAGUGGCGGACGGGUGAGGAAUACAUCGGAAUCUACUUUUUCGUGGGGGAUAACGUAGGGAAACUUACGCUAAUACCGCAUACGCCCUACGGGUGAAAGUAGGGGAUCUUCGGACCUUGCGCGAUUGAAUGAGCCGAUGUCGGAUUAGCUAGUUGGCGGGGGAAAGGCCCACCAAGGCGACGAUCCGUAGCUGGUCUGAGAGGAUGAUCAGCCACACUGGAACUGAGACACGGUCCAGACUCCUACGGGAGGCAGCAGUGGGGAAUAUUGGACAAUGGGCGCAAGCCUGAUCCAGCCAUACCGCGUGGGUGAAGAAGGCCUUCGGGUUGUAAAGCCCUUUUGUUGGGAAAGAAAAGCAGCAGGUUAAUACCCCGCUGUUCUGACGGUACCCAAAGAAUAAGCACCGGCUAACUUCGUG